Molecule: ribosomal RNA, 240 nt
Filed under: uncultured bacterium
Lineage: Bacteria
Description: partial 16S ribosomal RNA
Rfam family: Bacterial small subunit ribosomal RNA
Source: RNAcentral
CGUGGCGGACGGGUGAGUAACGCGUGGGUAACCUGCCUCAUACAGGGGGAUAACGGUUAGAAAUGACUGCUAAUACCGCAUAAGCGCACAGUACCGCAUGGUACGGUGUGAAAAACUCCGGUGGUAUGAGAUGGACCCGCGUCUGAUUAGCUAGUUGGUGGGGUAACGGCCCACCAAGGCGACGAUCAGUAGCCGACCUGAGAGGGUGACCGGCCACAUUGGGACUGAGACACGGCCCAA